This is an RNA transcript of Onychostruthus taczanowskii (white-rumped snowfinch), 9418 nucleotides long. It is a transcript of the gene named Ral GTPase activating protein catalytic subunit alpha 1, with no coding region annotated. The record is from RefSeq and is a predicted model, not a curated record. The transcript is spliced from 43 exons. NCBI's taxonomy places the organism in Eukaryota, Metazoa, Chordata, Aves, Passeriformes, Passeridae.
UGUCGUGAAGCAGCGGGAGGAAAGCGAGGGAGGAAGAAGGGGGAGUCCAGGCCCAGCCCGGCCCCCGGCCCGCGGGGAGUUGGCUCCGCGCCGCGCCCCUCCGCCCUCGCCGCUUCGCAGUCGGAGUCGGGAGGCGGCGGAGGUGGCGGCGGCGCUGCCGCCUCUGGCUAUGUAGGGGCCCCAGAGCGGGCAGAUCCGGAGGCCGCUGUCCGCCUCUGGAGCUCGGCGCCGGGGCCGGGCCCGGGGCCGGGCCCGGCGGGAUGUUUUCCAAGAAGCCGCACGGGGACGUGCGGAAAUCCACGCAGAAGGUGCUGGACACCCGCAAGGACCCACUCACCCGACUCAAGCACCUCCGCGUCCUUAUCGACAAUGCAGAAUCAAUUGAUCUCAAACAGUUUUUUGACCUACAUUUUUCACAUAUAUAUUAUGUGUUCUUCGAAAACUUUGUGACUAUUGAAGUGGGCCUUAAACAAAAAGGUCACAAGUCUCAGAGAGAAGAAUUAGAUUCUAUUCUUUUUAUUUUUGAGAAAAUUUUACAACUCCUUCCUGAAAGGAUUCAUCAGAGGUGGCAAUUUCAUAGUAUUGGGUUGAUUUUAAAGAAGCUUCUUCACACUGGAAAUUCAUUAAAGAUACGUCGAGAGGGUGUGCGUCUCUUUCUUUUGUGGCUGCAAGCACUUCAAAAUAACUGUAGUAGAGAACAAUUAUGGAUGUUUUCUUGCUUGAUUCCUGGAUUUUCAUCACCACAGUCUGAAUAUGGCCCCCGAACACUAGAUAAUCUCAUUAACCCUCCCCUUAAUGUCCAAGAAACUCAAGUGACUAUAGAAGAAAUCACUCCACUUGUUCCUCCGCAAUCAGGAGAUAAAGGACAAGAAGAUUUAACAAGCUAUUUUUUAGAAGCACUUUUGAAGUACAUGGUAAUUCAGGUUAAGAGUUUAGAAUGGAAGAACAAGGAAAACCAGGAAAAGGGAUUUUCAUUUUUAUUCUCAAAUUUUAAGAAAUACUACUUACCUUCUAUUUUCCCAAACAUCUGUAAGGAGACCAGCUUGUAUAACCCUAUACUUGAUAUACCACAAAUGAGACCAAAGCCACACUACGUAAUAGUUAAGAAAGAUGCUGAAACCAAUGAGGCAAUCUAUUGCACAAAGGAACCUUUCAUUAAGGCUCGUGUGAUUGUCAUUCGAUGGUUGGUGUCCUUCUGGCUUGAGCCAAAACCUCAUACAGGACCUCAUAUUCCUGGGAUGGAAGGUGAAAAUGUGCCAAAGAAUAUUCAGAGAGCAGCUGCUAGCAUGGCUUCAAGGGAGGACAGCAAAAAUGACAGUACUGAUAAGCAGGAUAGAAAUGCAGAACCAGAACAAUCUCAUUCCAAUACAAGUACUCUAACAGAGAGAGAACCAAGUUCUUCCAGCCUCUGCAGUAUUGAUGAAGAGCAUUUAACUGAUAUUGAAAUUGUUCGGAAAGUCUUCUCUUCUAAAAGAAACAAUGUUAAUUUUCUAACUGAGAUUUUUCGACAGGCAUUUCUGUUGCCGAUAUGUGAAGCAGCUGCCAUGAGGAAGGUGGUGAAGGUGUAUCAAGAAUGGAUUCAACAAGAAGACAAACCUUUAUUUAUGAAAGAACCUGAAGAAAUAAUGCAGUGCACAGCUGUAGAUUGUGAUGAAAAUGUUGACCAUAAUUCAUCAGAGAAAGGAAAAGAAAGAGAAGAGGAAAAAGGGAUGAACUCCAGUCAUGGAGUUAGAAAUUCCAACUGGGCAAGAAAUGGCUGUUAUGAAGACACUUUACAUAAAACAUCUGAAAUUGAUACUGAAGAGCAAAAUGUACGAGCUGGAGUGCAGUCAGUAUUGCAGGUUUUUAUAAUAAAUUCUUCAAAUAUAUUUUUUCUUGAACCUGCAAAUGAGUUUAAAUCUCUGCUGGAUGAACACACUGAUAUGUGCAAACGCGUUCUCAAUAUCUACCGCCACAUGGUAGUCCAAGUGACUAUGGACAAGAAGACAUGGGAGCAGAUGCUGCUUGUGCUGCUCAGGGUAACUGAAUCUGUGCUGAAAAUACCACCCCAAACUUUCUUGCAGUAUCAAGGAAGAAAAACCUCCACUUUAGCUGGAAGACUUGCAGGACCUCUUUUCCAGACUCUUAUAGUAGCUUGGAUCAAAGCAAAUCUAAAUGUGUACAUUUCUCGAGAACUUUGGGAUGACUUGCUGUCUGUGAUGUCAUCACUGACAUACUGGGAAGAGCUGGCCACUGAGUGGUCACUGACAAUGGAGACACUUACUAAAGUAUUAGCUAGAAACUUGUAUAGCCUGGACCUCAGUGACCUGCCACUGGAUAAAUUAAGUGAGCAGAAACAGAAAAAACACAAAGGCAAAGGCGUUGGGCAUGAAUUCCCAAAGUCUUCUGUUGAUAAGUCCUUUUCUAGAGGCUGGAGCCGUGACCAGCCUGGACAGGCGCCCAUGAGACAGCGCAGCGCUACAACCACCGGCUCUCCGGGAACGGAAAAGGCGAGGAGCAUAGUACGGCAGAAAACAGUUGCCAUGAGAAGCCGAUCCAUUGGUGAAUGUGCUCUGCCAUCGGCCUAUAUACGCAGUGCUAAAAGUGCUCCUGUUCUGAUCCAUACUUCCAAACCCUUCUUGCCUGAUAUUGUUCUCACUCCCCUUUCUGAUGAGCUUUCAGACAUUGACGAUGCUCAAAUUCUUCCACGUCCACCUCGAGUCAGACAUUUUUCUCAGAGUGAGGAUGCUCCAAGUGAAGUUUUUGGUGCAUUAAAUGAAGAACAGCCACUGCCACGAAGCAGCAGCACCUCUGACAUCCUGGAACCAUUCGCAGUUGAACGAGCCAAAGGUGCAGUUCCUGUCAUUGACAGUUCAUCCCAUCAUGCUCCAAGCUUACAGAAUUCCACUGAGACCUCUUCAAUGCAUAGAUCCACUGAAAGUCAUAUCACUGAUACAAAUAGCAGAGAGUCCUCCUUGGAAGUUGGGGAUAGUAUUUAUGACCAUCUUUGUCAUUUAAUAGGGCCGGUAGAAUUUGCAAACACUGCCUUUGAACAAAACCAGUAUGUUGACCUUGAAGGUGAAGAUGAUCUCCUUUCCUCUCUGAGAGAAUAUCUUAUUAAAGAAAAAGAAGAACUUUGCGGUAACUUUCAGAUAGAUAAAUCUGAGGCUUCUGCUCAUGAAGUUGAUACAUCAGUAAGUAGGAACGAUAGAUUACCACUGGAUGGAUUAGAAAAUAGAGAUCAGACUGGUCAAUGCACAACUAGCAACACUGUUGCAGAAAAAGCCAAUAACACAGAGCUGCAACUAGAACAAAACCCAAGUGGCUUUAUGAGUAGUAUUGCACCUACUCAAGUAGACUUUUUUACAAAAAAUCAAGCGCUCAAUAAAGCCAGACAGUUAGAUAUUGAUAAACAAUAUGAAAGCGUGUUUGAUCAUGGGUCCAGUAGUCCUAGCAGCAAAGAAGGGAAGAGAUAUCUAUAUAGGCAAGCAGCCACUGAAACUGAUGUAGAUUUAGUUGUGGAAGCACCGGUAGCUGAAAAGCAUAAAAGUGUCCAGUUUAAUGAGAAAGUGACCAACUCGCGUAUUGUCCACGCAAAGAAAAUUCUUCCUAAAGCACAAGUUGAUCCUCAAAUGCCUCACAUCACAGGCACAAGCAAACUGGCACCAGCUAAAAGAAGUAUAUCUGAAACUGUAACUCAUAGGGCCAAAAUCAUGAAAAUAACAACUAAAAAAAGAAACAGCGUUCAUGUUACUUUUAGGCCAUCUACAGAAUCGGUUCAGUUUUACAAUCCUCUUGAGAACAAAGAGGCUGCUUGGAAAGCAAGACUUCGUAAACUUGGUGGCUUCAGUAGCAGCAGUAGUGGUAGCAGCAACAGCAGUACCAGUGCAAGCAGUAGCUCAUCAGCUGCCACAGAGCUGGUUAGACCUGGAAUAUAUAGGCAUCUAGAGGCAGUCAACACUGCUUCAGCUGGCAGCAAGCAAGUUAAGGAAUCUGCAGAAACUCAAGCAGCUGUGUUGCAGAAAGAAGGUCUUGCCAUUAGUCAGUUCCAAUGUCGUAGUGCCUUUAGAACAUCAGGUCAGGAGUCGGCACAACAGCAGGGCUCCCUGGGUGGUGUUUAUAAAACUGUUGUCCAUGCUCUUUCGAAGCCGAAGGCAAAUGUUUCCCCACAGAGGCAGAACAGAAUGCCAGCAGAGGCUCCACUGAGGGAUCUGUACAGUCAUGUAAUGGGCUAUUUUGGAAGGAAAGCUGCAGCUAAUAGAGAGGACAUGAGUCAAAAGCUGCACCCUAUUGAUAGUGAUAUUGGCAGUAGCAAUACAAAUGUUCCUGACCUCAUGGAUGAAUUUAUAGCUGAGAGACUCCGCAGUGGUAAUGCACUGAAUGUGACAAGAAGAGGAAGCAGCCCUGGCAGCCUGGAAGUUCCUAAAGACCUUCCUGAUAUAUUGAACAAGCAGAACCAGAUGCGUCCUGUGGAUGACCCAGGUGUGCCUUCCGAGUGGACAUCGCCUGCCAGCGCGGGCAGCAGUGACCUCAUCAGCUCAGACAGCCACUCCGACUCCUUCAGCGCCUUCCAGUAUGAGAGCCGCAAAUUUGAAAAUUUCAACUUUGGCACUGAGGCAGGGACACCAGCUUCUACUGACGUUGAUGCAAUUUCAGGACAGCAACAAAGUGCCGAGGAACAAGAAGUGGCCAGUCUAACUACACUCCACAUAGAUUCAGAAACAAGUAGUCUCAAUCAGCAACCAUUGUCUGCUGAAGCUGCCACUAUUACUGGCUCUGAAAGUGCUUCUCCAAUCCAAUCAGCUCUUGGAUCCCGAUCACAGACACCCUCUCCUGCCACCCUGCAUGCAGAUCAUAUUGAGCAGAAGGAUCUGCAACUGGAUGAGAAGCUCCACCACUCUGUUUUGCAGACGCCAGAUGACCUAGAAACUAGUGAAUUCCCCUCAGAAUGUUGCAGUGUGAUGGCUGGGGGAACACUUACAGGAUGGCACGCAGAUGUUGCUACUGUGAUGUGGAGGAGGAUGCUAGGAAUUCUGGGAGAUGUCAACAGCAUAAUGGAUCCAGAGAUUCAUGCCCAGGUUUUUGAUUAUCUAUGUGAACUGUGGCAGAAUCUGGCCAAGAUAAGAGACAAUCUUGGUAUUUCAACAGACAACCUAACUUCACCAUCUCCCCCAGUUUUAAUUCCACCACUGAGAAUUCUAACACCAUGGCUCUUCAAGGCAACAAUGCUGACUGAUAAAUACAAACAAGGAAAGCUACAUGCUUAUAAGCUUAUUUGUAAGACAAUGAAACGAAGACAAGAUGUUUCUCCAAACAGGGAUUUUUUAACUCAUUUCUACAAUAUAAUGCACUGUGGACUUCUUCAUGUUGAUCAAGAUAUUGUCAAUACAAUCAUCAAGCACUGUUCUCCUCAGUUCUUUUCACUUGGUUUACCUGGUGCUACCAUGCUUAUUAUGGAUUUCAUUGUAGCAGCAGGAAGAGUGGCUGCUUCUUCUUUCCUCAAUGCACCCAGAGUUGAAGCACAGGUUCUUUUAGGAUCUCUAGUCUGUUUUCCCAAUUUAUAUCGUGAACUACCCGCUCUUCACCCAAAUAUUCCUGACAUUGCUGUGUCUCAGUUUACAGAUGUUAAGGAACUCAUAAUUAAAACUGUGUUGAGCUCGGCAAGAGAGGAGCCAUCUGGUCCUGCACGAUGUGUUGCUCUUUGCAGCCUUGGAAUUUGGAUCUGUGAGGAGCUAGUCCAUGAAUCGCAUCAUCCUCAGAUCAAGGAAGCAUUGAAUGUGAUAUGUGUUUCUUUAAAGUUUCCAAAUAAAACAGUAGCCCAAGUUGCCUGCAGUAUGCUGAACAUGCUGAUACAUUAUGUACAUAGACUUCAACUUUAUCAAGCUGAUUCACCAUUAAGAAUUAUUCAAAUUCUGAUAGCAACUAUUACACAUCUGCUACCCAGUACAGAAGCUUCCUCUUAUGAGCAGGACAAGAGGUUGGUGGUUUCUUUACUUCUGUGCUUACUGGAUUGGAUAAUGGCCUUGCCAUUGAAGACUUUGCUGCAGCCUCUUCACACUACAGGAGCAGAAAAUGAUAAGACUGAAAGAUCCGUUCUUAAUUGUAUAUAUAAGGUUCUGCAUGGAUGUGUCUAUGGGUCUCAGUGUUUUAGCAACCCAAAAUAUUUUCCUCUAAGUCUUUCUGAUCUGGCAUGUAUGGAUUAUGAUCCUUUUAUGCAUUUAGAGAGCUUAAAGGAACCAGAACCACUGCAUUCUCCAGACUCAGAGAGGUCUUCUAAACUUCAGCCAGUCACUGAAGUGAAAACUCACAUGCAACAAGGAUUAAUUUCUGUUGCUGCUCGUACUGUGAUUACACAUCUAGUCAACCACUUAGGCCACUAUCCUAUGAGUGGAGGUCCUGCUAUGCUGACCAGUCAAGUGUGUGAAAACAAUGACAAUCCAUACAGUGAAAGUCCUGAGCUUUCUCCUGAACUUUUUGAGAACCCAAAUCUUCAAUUCUUUGUAUUAAACAAUACUUCCCUGGUGUCUUGCAUACAAAUCCAAGCAGAAGAUGACAUGCCUGGGGGAGGACUGUCUGCUGGACUUGCAUCAGCUAAUUCAAAUGUUAGAAUUAUAGUGCGUGAUCUGUCUGGCAAAUACUCAUGGGAUUCGGCCAUUUUGUAUGGACCAUCAUCUUUAUGUGGAUCUUCACAACAAACAUCUUUUGCACUUUCAUUAUCUCAGCAAGAUAAACCAGAAGAUGCUCUUUCAUCUUUUGAGCAUGUGGAGGAUGUAUCUGCAAGAGAUGGAAUUACACUCCAAGUUAAAAGGAAAUUUAGAGACACUGUACCAACAUGGGAUACAAUUAGGGAUGAAGAAGAUGCUCUUGAUGAGCUGCUGCAGUAUUUAGGUGUUACAAGCCCUGAAUGCUUACAGAGAACUGGUGUUUCACUCAACAUCCCUGCUCCUCAACCAGUCUGCAUCUCAGAAAAGCAGGAGAACGAUGUCAUCAAUGCAAUUCUGAAACAGCACACAGAAGAGAGAGAGUUUGUUGAAAAGCAUUUCAAUGAUGUAAAUAUGAGGGCUAUGGAGCAGGAUGAGCCAACCUCACAAAAGCCACAGUCAGCAUUUUACUACUGUAGAUUACUUCUCAGUAUACUAGGAAUGAAUUCAUGGGAUAAAAGAAGGAGCUUUCAUCUCCUGAAGAAAAAUGAGAAGUUACUUCGAGAACUCAGAAAUUUGGACUCAAGACAAUGCCGAGAGACACACAAGAUUGCAGUGUUUUAUGUUGCUGAGGGACAGGAAGAUAAACACUCCAUUCUUACGAAUACUGGGGGAAGUCAAGCCUAUGAGGAUUUUGUUGCUGGUCUUGGCUGGGAGGUAAAUCUCACAAACCAUUGUGGCUUUAUGGGAGGACUGCAAAAAAACAAAAGCACUGGAUUGACCACUCCAUAUUUUGCUACCUCAACAGUGGAAGUCAUGUUCCAUGUGUCAACAAGAAUGCCUUCUGAUUCAGAUGACUCUUUAACAAAAAAGCUAAGACAUUUAGGAAAUGAUGAAGUACACAUUGUCUGGUCAGAACAUACUCGAGAUUAUAGAAGAGGAAUAAUUCCAACAGAAUUUGGUGAUGUUCUUAUAGUUAUCUAUCCCAUGAAAAACCAUAUGUUCAGUAUCCAGAUAAUGAAAAAGCCUGAGGUUCCAUUUUUUGGUCCACUCUUUGAUGGUGCUAUUGUGAAUGGAAAAAUUCUGCCUAUUAUGGUUCGUGCAACAGCUAUAAAUGCAAGCCGUGCAUUGAAAUCAUUAAUCCCAUUAUACCAAAACUUUUAUGAGGAGAGAGCACGAUACCUUCAAACAAUUGUUCAACAUCAUCUAGAGCCUACAACAUUUGAAGAUUUUGCUGCUCAGGUUUUCUGCCCAGCACCUUAUCACCAUUUGCCCUCAGAGACGGAUCAUUAAAUAUCAGUUCUGUUUAUCUGAAGAAAGAAAUGCUGUGAUAUUUCUUCUCCUUCCAAAACCUCCACUAGAAAGCAUUGGCCACAUCAAGGUAAAGGGCAAAGGCUUGAAACGGAAGGUCUUUCACGCUAGCUGUGAAUGGCUUCUGCCCAGAGACUCAGCCGGGAGAAACUCCAGCAGCAGCAACAGCACAGGUGGAUGGAACAGACUUAGCCUCUCCAAUGUCUCCUCGGACUAGCAAGAGCCGCAUGUCCAUGAAACUGCGCCGCUCCUCUGGCUCAGCCAACAAGUCCUAAGUGGCAAGAUGCCUGCAGCUUUCUAGUGAAGAGCACUGGCCACCCUUCCCGCAGCGACUCACCGCGUUUUGGGUUUUCGUACUGCUCACGCUGUUCAUUCAAGGAUAAUGUCUCUCAUGUGUGUGCACCCAUGCCCUGCAUACUCCUUUUCUGUAUGUUUAUUUUAAACAGUGACACUGGAAUUUUACUUUAAUAAUUUUGCUUUGUCUUUUUUUAUCAAACUCCGGUCUGCCGGUUUUUUUUCUCUGCAGUGCAGUUUGUACCCUGCACCUUUUACCUACUUGGAUGAUUAUGGAUGAUUAACUUUGGGUUUUAACUCUGGUUGAUCUUGAGUCAACACGGAAAUGGAGACUGCAGUUGGAUUACACUAUAUUUAUUGUGCCCCAUUGCAAUUUUCUCUGUAACAAAGAAAGAAGUAUGUACAAUUUGAAAAUGAAUGUACAAUUUUAAAUUGAAGUUGCAUUUGUAAAGUCUUUGUCAAAUGUCACAAUGUUAAUGCACAAGAUGUGUACAGAUUAUUUAUGUUGAGAAUAAAAUAGUUCAAUGGCAUUUCAAGUAUCACAGAAUCCAAAUGAAAUAAUUUGCUCAUAGCACCCUUUCAUCAUAAAACGAUGUAUCAUUUCAUAAUUCUGCAGAUAAUCUAUGCCAGAAAAAAAAAUCACUGUCUUGAAAUUCUAUUUAUGCUCGGCUUCCAAAUAUUUUUAUAUUUGCUUUUCCAAGUGGUGUCAAUAGUAAAUGCCAUUGAGUUUCAUGAGUUUUAGCCAUUAUCAUUAUGGUGUUUCAUCUAGAUGUAUAUUCUUUUUUCUUACAUUUAAAAAAAAAAAACAAAACAAACCAAACAAACACUUUCCUGAUAGCAAUUCAUUGCUGUGAUGAUGAGUACUAGGAGAGAAAAGGGAACAUGCUCCGGGAGCCUGGCCUGAAAUGCUAAUAAUUUAAUAAUUUCAGCCUUGUGAGCGCAGAUUAGUACACGAGUUCCACCCACCCAGAGGUAUUUUCCUACAGAAAAUUAAAUGCUCACAUUUUGAGUCUAGUAAACAACAAAAUGCUGUUAACAAAAUGUAGCAUGGCAUCGGUACUAACUGCAUGUGUAAAUAUAUGGGCAACAAUAAAAAAAGAAAUUAUGUAUUGUCAUUCAUGUAGUAUCUACAAAUUUGUAAUGGUUGAAGAGAAGACAUGCUAUUUAAUAAUCCAAUAAAAUUAUUCUUACCA